Molecule: ribosomal RNA, 393 nt
Filed under: uncultured nitrite-oxidizing bacterium
Lineage: Bacteria
Description: bacterial SSU rRNA
Rfam family: Bacterial small subunit ribosomal RNA
Source: RNAcentral
UAAUACGAAGGUGGCAAGCGUUGUUCGGAUUCACUGGGCGUACAGGGAGCGUAGGCGGUUGGGUAAGCCCUCCGUGAAAUCUCCGGGCCUAACCCGGAAAGUGCAGAGGGGACUGCUCGGCUAGAGGAUGGGAGAGGAGCGCGGAAUUCCCGGUGUAGCGGUGAAAUGCGUAGAGAUCGGGAGGAAGGCCGGUGGCGAAGGCGGCGCUCUGGAACAUUUCUGACGCUGAGGCUCGAAAGCGUGGGGAGCAAACAGGAUUAGAUACCCUGGUAGUCCACGCCUUAAACUAUGGAUACUAAGUGUCGGCGGUUUACCGCCGGUGCCGCAGCUAACGCAGUAAGUAUCCCGCCUGGGAAGUACGGCCGCAAGGUUGAAACUUAAAGGAAUUGACGG